RNAcentral lists this long non-coding RNA (221 nucleotides) under Lathyrus oleraceus (garden pea). RNAcentral's name for it is "Pisum sativum (pea) long non-coding RNA (PSAT_LNC039461)". The record is from RNAcentral. Lineage: Eukaryota; Viridiplantae; Streptophyta; Magnoliopsida; Fabales; Fabaceae.
GAUACUGGAUGCCACUCAAUGGUCUUAUACCUGUCUCCUAAAACAAGUAAGGAUAUCAGAAGCCACUCUAUGGACUUACACUAAUCUCCAUCAGAAUAAAACAAAAAACAAAACAGGGAAAUCAACUGCCAAUCUAUCUGGACUUAUGUUAACCUCCACAGUAUGAUCCUAGGAAUACAAAUGCCACAUCACAGGGACUUACAAUGAAUCCUCACAUACAA